RNAcentral lists this long non-coding RNA (1139 nucleotides) under Dromaius novaehollandiae (emu). RNAcentral describes it as "lncRNA (ENSDNVG00000013352.1)". Lineage: Eukaryota; Metazoa; Chordata; Aves; Casuariiformes; Dromaiidae. The record is from RNAcentral.
UACUGUUCUGGCCAUUAUGUGGAAUCUACUGUGGUGAAAUGCAGAAGGAGGGAAUUUUGCCUUAAUGCAAUCCCGUUGACACAGUCUCCAUGUCCCUCUUCCCUCCCUCCCCUCCAUCUCCUUCAGAAUUGCCUUAAUGAAGAACCAAUAUCCAAUGAUGUGAAAAGCUUCUCCAAAUAAAAUGUUCUAUAAAGCCAAACGUGCAGACUUUGCUUUCAGUAAUGGACAUGCUAAUGGGGAAGCAUGUAUCAUAUAGCUGCGAUAGGGAUGGAUUUCAGAACAAACACACUGGGCUUGCUAAGGACCUGUCGUACACAUAGUUACUGAAACCAUGGAGUGCAGGAAGUGGGAAGAAGGGGCUACUUUCUCCUCCUCCUCACUAUUACAGCCCUGGGGCCAGGCACCUUGCCAUAUGGCCCUCCCCAUUGCUACUGCUCUGUCCCCAGGCUGUGUUUUGGGGCACUAUCCCUGAAUCCCAGCCUGAAGCUCUGUACCAUUCGUGACCRUCCCCUCACCAGCCCUAGCACCAAUGCAACAGGGAGAGCUAACCACAAGAUGGCAGUGAAACUAUCUUGAGCUUCAGAGGCUGGCAUGGGUGAAUAUAGCCACACAGCUCUUAAAACACUCUCCUCCGGGAAACGGUGAAAAACCGGGAUAUUUAACCCUGAGCAAAAUGCUAGCACCUGUCAGUGUGCAAAAGGGAAUAAGCUCUGUUGGCAGGGAUAAUAUAGUAAACAUUUUACCAUAUCUUCAUCUCUAUCUCUAUAAUCUCCAGUGAGAUAUAAAGCUGUCCUGGACCUGAAGAUGUGGGAAUAGCUGCAUUCUGGUAGAGGAAUAUAAACACUUUUUCUAUGGGCUUGAGGUUUUGCUUUCAUGGACUGUGGCUACAGGAUCCAUGACAAAUUGAUCACAAAAAACAGGGAUCUGGAACUUUUUGCUGUCACUUUUCUCCAACAUUUCCAUCAUCCUUAGAGGGGGCAGCUGUCUUUAGGAUCACUCUCAAAACACGGGGGCUUUGUAAACACUUUCAUUAUUGAUUUUCAUUGCACAAUUAAUCAUAAGUUUCAAAGCUUCAAAAAGGUUUAGAUAUUUGUACAAAUAAGAAUAAAGCAUCAUUGGUUAGACUAGCUAGGAGAAAA